This 6719-nucleotide long non-coding RNA is filed under the name Sus scrofa (pig). RNAcentral's name for it is "lncRNA (ENSSSCG00030029854.1)". Lineage: Eukaryota; Metazoa; Chordata; Mammalia; Artiodactyla; Suidae. The record is from RNAcentral.
CAUGUAAAACUCCAGGUGGUGGUCCUGGCUCUGCCUUUUUGGGUCUCAUCCCUGUCUGGAGGGAUGUGGAGGCUGUGGCUGUUUAGAUCCAGGUGAUGUAGCCCCCACCCUAGGUGAGCCCAGAUGACGUGGUCCUCAACCUGACAUACAUUUCGUGAGCUCUUAACUGUCCAAGCUGUCCCUAUGGACAGCUACCUGCCUCUCACCUUCUCUUUGGCCAUUGCCACUACCAACUCUGUCUCUUAGAGACUAGAGCUUCCUAUUCAACUUUUCGUUGAAUUUAUUGGAAUUGUUUUGUCUCCAGGUGCUUGAAAUAUCACUAUGUAAUUACUAAAUUGGCAGCAAAUUGAAUGAACAGACAUGCCAGCAAGAUGGCAAAAACCAUGGCCCCAUCUAAAAUGCUCUUCAUUUCUAAUUUUUUUCACUUGAAGUUAAGGUCCACUCUCUUUCUGCUAAAACAAAUUAUAUUUCAUCCUUGGGUUUUGGUUCCUACACUUGCCAGGGCUACUUGGUUUCACGUCUUUUCCACUCUUGAGCUGCUUCUGAGGUCUGUCUCUUAGAACUGCUGCUGUUUAACUCAUAUAUUUUUUUUUUUUGGUCUGGGAGCCCAGAUCCAUGGCUCCAGCUCUAUUAAGCACCUCCAGUGUUUGCUUUACUGCAGUGAUGUUCAUAUAAAAGCAAAAUGAGCAAUUACAUUAUCUUAGACGUGGCUGAAUUGUUCAUGUCAGAAACAAUCUUUGUAUCAUUAUGCAAAUGAAACGUACUUUUGUGGAAAUAUGUGGCACAGCAUCAAACUGGGAUGCUUAAAUAUAAAUCCUUAUGUUUUUGUCCGGUUAACUCACCAUCAAAAAUAUGGGUAGGAUGAAAUUCAGGUUAUUAUUGCCCCUUCACAAAAAUGGUAAUGGUAUUGAUUGCUAUAUGUAUGGCAUUGUAGAGCUGAUGGAUCUUGGGAAACUGUGCCUCAGUUUCCUCAUCUGUAAAAUGGGAAUAAUAAUACCAGUAUCCUGGAUUGUUGCAAGGGUGAAAUGAGUUAAUAUAUGUGAAGUGCUUAGAAUAGAGCCUCGCACAUAGUAAGAGCUACUAGCAUAUAAAUGUUAACCAUUGCAUGAAAAUACUGUAUGAUUAUCUUUUGGAAGCCAGACACAAUUUAGGUAUGCAUUUUUUUGGUCAUGCCCAAGGUAUGUGGAAGUUCCUGGGCCAGGGAUUGAAUCCACAUGUCAGCAGUGACCUGAGCCACAGCAGUGACAACACCAGAUCCUUAACUACUGGGCCACUAGGAAACUCCUAGGCAUGCAUUUUUAUAAUGUGGUAUUUCUUUUUAAAUGCUUCGGCCAAGAUAAUUAUGAUUAAAUCCAACAGUGACAAAUCCAAAUGUUUAAGUGUUUUAAAGUAGAGAGGUAUUUUGUUUUGCUUUGCAUUUUUGUUUUUGUGUUUGUUUUGCUUUCUAGGGCCGCACCUGGGGCAUAUGGAGGUUCCCAGGACUAGGGGUCCAAUCAGAGCUAGAGCUGCCGACCUAUGCCACAGCCACAGCAAUGCCAGAACUGAGCUGUGUCUGUGACCUAUACCACAGCUCACAGCAACACCGGAUCUUCAACCCACUGAUUGAGGCCAGGGAUCAAACCAUCCUCAUGGAUCCUAGUUGGGUUCAUUAACCUCUGAGCCACAAGGGCAAUUCCAUUGUUUUGCAAAUUUUUGAUAAUUGAAUUACCCUCGGAGUGUUCCUUUUCAGGUGGGAUGUACUUGUCAGAGUGGAAGUAAGCCUCGUCAGUAGAACCUUAUGAUUUCUUCCUUUUACAUCUGAUUGUGGGGUCUCUGCUUCUGGUCCUCUUUCUUAAUCCCUGUGGCAGGACCCUCUGCUCUGUUUUGCUUCUUGCACAGUCUGUUACGAUUCACCUCUCGCUCUUCCUCCCUGCAGAAGGCAGCCAGCCCUUGAGGUGGGUAAACUUUAGAACAUUUAGAUUUCAAUUUUGCAGCUUAUCUGUGCACAUUAAACAGCCAGCCUGUGCCAGUUUUCUCCCAGGCUUUUUGGCAUGAGAGUGAUGACUGGCCGCUUGGGUCAGGAAUGCUGCGUGCUCCUCUGUGGGUGGCCAGAAGCUGAGCUGAAAGAGUUCAGCUUUCUGCUAUUCCAGUCUUUUCUGCUGCAGAAAAGGAUGUCAUCAUAACUUUGAUAAGUUGACGAUGGCCAGUUCAUUUCCUUUUUGACACUGCAGUAGUUAUUUUUAACAAGUAACUUGAAAUUCAAGGGCAUAUGAACCCUAGGCGGGAUUAUCUGAAGCGCUCUGAGCUCUUCCUGAGCCAUCUCUCUAGGCUUGGUCUAGGAACUGUGGGCAGGAAACAAAGAAUUUAUUUCUGGACUGCUGAUCUGAGCCUGUUGUCACCUCAGUUAUUUAUUGGUGCUUUAAAUUUGUCAAAAGGCUUAAUAUAAAAUGUAAAACCAUAUCCAAUAAUUUGUAUCUUUCUAAUCUCUUUUUGAUAAUUUCACAAGUGACUAGUGGGAUCUGUAGUUAAGGGAUACCAGAGAAACUUUUUCUUUCUACAUAUCCAAUCUAAUAUUUAUGUAUUUAUCUAUCAGUCAAGCUCUUGAACCAGAAACCGUAGUGGAGGAGUUCCCAUUGUGGCUCGGUUGUUAAGAACCCAACAUAGUGUCUGUGAGGAUUCGGAUUCCAUCUCUGGCCUCACUCAGUGGGUUAAGGAUCUGGUGUUGCUGGAAGCUGUAGGUUCAGAUCCAGUGGCUGUGGUGUAGGCCACCAGCUGCAGCUCCAAUUCGUCCCCUAGCCUGGGAGCUUCCAUAUGCUGAGGGUGGGGCCCUAAAAAAAAAUGUGGAUCACAGGAAGCCAGAGAGAAGAAAAUAUAUACUGUACAAUUCCUUAUCAGUUUCAAAGUGGGUGAAAAAAGAAACCUUUUUCGGAUUGCAUACUUAGAAGUUGGGAGUCAUGACUAUUUCAGGCAAGGUCCCUCUGAGCGGAUGACAGUCAUUUAGUUCUUAUAAUUUCUGUAAUUUUAUUGAGUUCAACUGCCAUACAUUACUGUAUACAUUUAAAGUGUACAGCAUCAUGAGUUGACUUUCAUAUAUCAUGAAAAGAUGACCAUAGUAAGUUUAGUUAACAUCCAUCAUCUCAUAGAGAUACAGGAAAAGAAAAAGAUAAAACACUUUUCUCCUUGUGAUGAGAACUCUUGGGAUUUACUCCCUUAACAACUUUCCUAUGUACCGUAUGGCAGCAUUAACUCUAGUCAUCAUGCUGUAUAUUAUGUGCGUAGCAUUUAUCUCAUAGCUAUAAGUUUGUAGCAUUUAUCUCAUAGCUAUAAGUUUGUAUCUUUUGACCACCACCUCCAGUUCCUUCUCCUCUAACUCCCACCUCUGGUAACUAUAAUGAUAGCUACAGACCGGAUCCUUUUUCUAUAAGAUGUUUUUAUUUUAAGAUUCCACAUAUAAGUCAGAUCAUACAGUAUUUGUCUUUCUCUGUGACUUAUUUCACUUAGCAUCAUACCCUCUAGGUCUGUCUGUGUUGUUGCCAAGACAGCAUUUUGGUCCUAAUCAAACCUUCUCAUGGUUAAGGAAACCCCUUCACACUGAGGGUUAGUAAGAAGCCCUGUGAACUUGGAUGUGCCCAGUCUCCAUCCCUGGUUUCUUGGUGGGAAUAACCAUCUGUUAAUUCUCACUGUGCCUUCGUUUCUUUCUUUUAAGUUGGACAUAAAUACCUUUCUGCUCAGAAUCUUUUACUGAGUAAGGGGGAAAGAGAAGAAAUCUCACACUGGCCAGUUUAGUUACUUGCUGACAGUUUGUUUAGAGUUCAAACAAGAAGGCUUUGAAGGAGAAUUGAGCACGGUCUCUGGAUUUACCAGUCUUCCAUGUUUUUCUUCCAUCAAUGUAAAUCACUCUGAGAUGGCUAAUAGUGUUUGGUUGAUUCAACCAUAGAUUGAAAAUAUUUGGGGGAAAAAUUCCAGGAAGUUCUGGAAAGCAAAACUUGAAUUUGCUAUGCAGACUCAAACUGUUUUUGAAUUGGCACUGGCAACAAUUUAUAUAACAUUUACAUUGUAUUAGUUAUUAUGAGUAAUCUGGAGAUGAUUCAAAGUAUACAGGAGGAUGUGUGUAGGUGAUAUGCAAAUACUGCACCAUUUUAUAUAAGGGAUUUGAGCAUCUGUGGAUUUUGGUAUCUGAGGAGGGUCCUGGAACCACCAAAGGAUGACUGAUGCACAUUUUUUCAAAAUACAAAAUUUUCAUGAUAAUCAUGAGCUCAACAAAUUCAGCUACAUUAUGUAUUGGUCCCUUUUUGUGCUUUAGCUUUAAUUGUUACUCAGAUAACUUUAAAUAAAAUCAUUUUUUUUAGAAUCAUUCCUAACUCAAAUAAAAUACUAAAUGCUGAGGUUUUUUUUUUUUGUUUUUUUGUUUUUUUGUUUUUUGUUUUUUGUUUUUUUUCUUUUCUCUUUUUCUUUUUGGUCUUUUGUCUUUUUAGGCCUGGGAACCUCCAUAUGCCGCGGGAGUGGCCCAAGAAAUAGCAAAAAAACAAAAAAAAAAAAAAAAAAAAAAAAAAGUUCAGACUUCUUUAUUAUCAUUAUAUUUGUUAUGAUGAUCUGUGGCCAGUGAUCUCUGAUGUUACCACUGUGAUUUGCUUAAGGCUCAGGUGAUAGUUAGCAUUUUUUAGCGAUAGCGUACUUUUCAAUUAAGAUAGGUACACUUUUUUAGAAAUAAUGCGAUUGUACACUUAGUAAACUAUCAGUAUCGUGUAAGCAUAACUUUGAGCUGCACUGAGAAACCAAAACAUUUUAGCGACUUGCCUUAUAACGGGAUACUCGUGGUAGUCUCGAAGUGAACCCACAGUACCCCCGAAGUAUGCCUGUAUCAGUGAUGAAAAGGUGAAAAAUUAGGCACACUCACAAGAUAAAAACUCCCUCUGGUAAGUGUAGAGAAAACCAUACUGAGUUACAUUUCAGGACUCCUCCUUUCCUACGGAGAAAGAACGCUUUAGGAGACUUUGGGAUAGUGGGUUUAUAUCAGGAUAAUGAUGGUCUUUGCUGUUUUUUCCAUGCCUGUUUCAAGCCGUUCUCCACCAUAGGGCCUCAGGUAUUUUAUUUCCAGCUACUCAGUCCCUUCUGUUCAAACUCAUUCACAUGAGAUGUCUUACAAACUUAUCCUUUGAUGUAAAAUACCAUUUACUCUUGCCUGUGCCUCAAAUCUAAUUUACUUUGUCCUGAUGAUAGUAACGGGGCAGGAUCGAGAAAUAAAUUUUGAAAUCAUGACUUAGAUCUAAAAGUUCGGUAUCCGUUCCAUUCUUUUCCCCAUCAGCUUCAGUUGGUAGGAUUUUGACUAACAAAUUUGGAAGCAUCUGAGAAAAUCUUAAACUCAUCUGUCAUUGUUAUGUCCCCAGUGGCAGCUAAAGAUUGCAUUCAUGGGCUUUUGCCAGAAUAAACAGUCUGAAUCUUCAGCAAGGUCUUCGGAACCUAACUGGGACUCUUUAGUUUGCCCUUUAUAGAAAUAGCUUCUGUCAGUUCUCUCUAACGAAUUCCUUUCAUGGUGCAGUGUGUAGCCCACUAAACACAGAGAGAAUAUACAAUCUUUCUCAUUUCUGAGCUUUUAAUUGAUGUGGGACCAGUGAUGUUUCAUAACUGUACUGCUUUAAUACAGUCAUUAGACUCCAAGUCAUAGGAAAUCAACUUUUAUUUGAUACUUGGGAAAAAUAAUUUUAGGAAGCUUUCAGAAUGGACAAAUGCACUAGAAAAUCAAAAGUACAGGUUUACUUUAAAUAUGAAACUAUUCUUUUAAGAGGGAUUUUAUUUGCAUUUUAAGUCUUCUGGGAAGGAACCCCCCGAUACGGUAUCAAUGCAGGUUUCAUUUUACAGAAAGAAACCUGGAGUCAGAGAAGCGAUGUGCCACCAGGCAGUGGCAGAGCUGGUACUGGAACCCAGGACUCCUGGCUUCCUGCCUGCACAAAGCAAUUUCUAAGUGACCUUCACAUAAAAUAUCAUUUUAAAAGAGUGUAUUUAAAUGAACUUAAAACUUAAUAAAUUUAAAAGUUUUAAGACUUUUAUUGGACUAUUAUAUUGCACUAUGUGUGAGACCUGGUGACUAAAACAAUAUAUUACCUACUUUCUAACCUGAGAUUGGAAAAUUUUUACACCUAUAGUUGUAUACACACACAUGCAUACUAACAAACACAAACAUGUACACCCAUAUACCUAUAUAUACACACACCUACAUAUAUAUACACAUCUACACACAUACUUAUACAUGUACACUAUACAUACACAUGUGUGUAUGCCAGCACACCCACAUGCAUAUGCGUGUACAUAUGCAUAUAUAUAUAUAUACACAUUUGUGUGUGUAUAUGUAUAUAUACAUACUCAUAUGUAUACACAUGCAUGCAGCUACACACGCAUGCGUAUGUGUAUCUACACACACACACACACAUAGGGCAGAAUAGUAGAAAAUAAGGGCUCUGAAAUCAGGCAAACUUACAGCCCUACUGGUACUGGCUGUGUUUCCUCAGGCAAAUCUAUUAGCCUUUAAAAAACUAAGGUUUACCAUUUGUAAAAUAAGGAAAAUAAUACUAUUCUCAGACUGUGAAAAACCAAAUACAUAACAUAUGAAGUAUUUAGCCCAUUGUCGGCCACCUAAUAAGCUCUCAGGAAGUGUUAGGAGUUGAUGCUGUGAACAGAAUGUACAGAAUGCUGGGCGGUGAGUUAAGUUGAAGAAAAGGUUGGAAAUAAAAUAAAAUAAAAUC